RNAcentral lists this unclassified non-coding RNA (2627 nucleotides) under Nilaparvata lugens (brown planthopper). RNAcentral's name for it is "uncharacterized LOC120354318, transcript variant X1". Lineage: Eukaryota; Metazoa; Arthropoda; Insecta; Hemiptera; Delphacidae. The record is from RNAcentral.
UGAAGCAAUGCUCUCUAUAAUUGCAUUAGUACAAAAGGAAUCAUUUCCCGAUGCUAUAGCUGCUAUACAAUCAAACGAUAAAUCCAUCACAAAAAGUCUUGAACAGUUGAUCCCUUUUAUGGAUUCAACUGGGUUACUAAGAGUGGGGGGAAGACUGAGAAAUUCAAGCCUAUCUGAUAGAAAUAAAUACCCAUUGUUGCUCCCAAAAACUCAUCACGUGACAAAUUUGAUUAUAGAUCACUACCAUAAACUGUAUUUACAUCCUGGCCCAGCUAAUUUGCAAGCAGUCAUUCAAAGACAAUUUUGGAUCUUGAGAGCAAGGGACAUAAUUCGUAAGAGAACAAUUAAAUGCAUGGAAUGCUUUCGUGCAAAACCCACUGGGCAACAACCACUCAUGGGAGACCUCCCGUCUGCUAGGCUGCAAGGAGUCAAGGCAUUCCUAAAUACAGGGGUUGAUUAUGGUGGACCUUUUGAUAUAACACUAGGGCGACUGAGGAAGGCUAGAAUAUACAAGGCAUAUAUUUGUUUAUUUAUUUGCCUUUCAACUCGGGCUGUACAUCUAGAAUUAGUCUCGGAAUUAUCAACAGAUGCUUUUCUAGCUGCAAUGAAACGAUUCCUAGCAAGAAGAGGCACUGUUCACACUAUGUAUAGUGAUUGUGGUACCAAUUUUGUGGGAGCAAGCCGAAAACUGUCACAAUGGUAUGAGCUCACAAAAGCAUCAAGGUUCAAUGAGGAGAUGACUAGAGAGCUGGGUAAUCGAGGAAUUAAGUGGGUAUUCAACCCUCCAGCAGCUCCACAUUGGGGAGGAAUCUGGGAAGCAGGAAUUAAAUCUACUAAGAGAUUGCUCAAGGCUGCAGUUGGUAAUCAAAUUCUAACGUAUGAAGAAUUCAGUACUGUAUUAACCCAAAUUGAGUGGAUAUUGAAUUCAAGACCAUUGACCCCUGUUAGUUCAGACCCAAGAGAUUCAAGUGUGUUAACUCCAGGUCAUUUUGUACUCAUGGAAAGCCCAAAGGUUUGGCCAGAGCCAGAGGAAUCAAUUGAACCGGUGAACUUGAGAAAUUGAUGGAGUUUACUCAAAAGAAUUUUAUCUUCAUUCUGGAAACGUUGGCAAUUGGAGUAUGUAUCUAGCUUGCAAACCCGAACAAAAUGGUACAAAAAACAAAGUAAUGUUAAUAUUGGAAGUAUGAUUCUCUUAAAGGAAAGUAACCUACCCCCUCUACAAUGGAGGCUUAGCCAAAUAACGAAGAUAUUCCCUGGACAGGAUGGAGUUGUGAGAGUGGUGGAGGUACAGACUGCAAAGGGAAGUCUCACUAGGGCUGUCAAUAGGGUAUGUCUCCUCCCUAUUGAUGAAGAUUAGGCCUUAUUGAAGGGAGCUUCAAUAAGUUUAGUGGUUAGUUUUUUUUUUUUUGUUUCUCGUUUUACAUGUGGGAAAGGUUCCCAAGUUGCUUUGUUUCUUGUUUUUAUCUAUAGUGGUUGUAUUUAGUCAUUGUUUCUCAUCCCAUCCUCUCCUUUCCGUGGGCCUCCUACUCCUUUUUUUAUAAGUCUCCUCAAGGGCCCCUGAGGAGUGAAGAUAUUUUCCUUUUUUUUCCUAGUUUCCCUAGUAGGGUUCGUUAUAGGUGGCUUUUGUUUUUGUUAUUGGAAGUUCUUCCAAGGUGGGCGGAAUGUUCGGACAUUCUAUCAAUGUUCCUCUUUGUUGUCUGGUGUUGUGUGGUGGAGGGGGCAAUUAAAGGGUGAUGUGUAUAGCAUAAUCGCGCCAGUUGCCGUUUGCCUGCCAACCGAACAGCUCACUUCUCGUAAUGUCAAUUUUUGCAAAGUGAUCUAUUGAUUUAUUGUGAUUCAUUACAAGUGUGUCGUCUCAUCUCGUAUUGUGAUCUGGACCCGGGAUCCUAGAAGCAAGGAGGAUUUGGACAUGAAGAUGGAGUUUUACAAAACAGGGGGAGGCACUUUCAAAAAAAGCCUGGAUGAUGAAGGGGAGAGAUUUGUGGCAUUGAUGGAGCCACAAUUCUUUCCCAUGAAAAACUAUGGUGAUAGUGACGAUGGUUAUCACCAAAAAGAAAUCGAGAUUAUUAGCAUGGAUGCUCAGGCAGCUACUAGUACAGAUGAGGUUUAAGAUACUGAAGCGUCAGUAGAGGUGAUUGAUAUAUUGGCGAGGAGCAAAUUAUAAUUCAGCCUUCCAUUACAGUGGAAAACAAUAAUCUUAUACGAAAAACUCAAAGUGGAGGUUUAGGAACAAAACAAAAGAAAAAAAAGUACGAAGAUUUGAAGGACUACAUGACAGGGAAAGUUGACAUAAACGAACUCAAAAUUGAAAUGAUGAGGGAAAAACACGAGUUGGAACUACAGAUUUUUAAAAAACUAGAAUUAAAAGAAAUAGAGGUUAAAAUAAAACAAAAAGAGUAUGAAAGAAUGUAAAUUAUGUUAAUGUUAAUUGAAUGGAUGGUUUGUGAAAUAGCUUAAUAUCUUCAGUUAUGGUAAGUUAUAUCAUUUUUUGUGUUUCUUAUAAGUAUUAUUAAUUUUCUCAACAAAAUGUAUUCAAUGAAAACGAUAAAAUAAUUAUAUAGCUCUAUUAUUAAAAUAAAUACAAAUAUUAAGUAUCUCAUUUAUUCCUAAAAGGCUACUUGAUAGUU